CAACAGUGAUUUCCUUAGUAAUGGCGAAUGAAACGGAAACMSCCCAUCGCCGAACGGCAGGCCCUCUCGGUCUCGCUGAAUGUGGCGUUUGGGAGAGUCUUAUCGCGGUGUGGACGGCCAGUCAAAGUCCAACUUGACAGUGGCCAUGGCCCAUAGAGGGUGCUAGGCCCGUAAGGCGGCUGUCCCACUGUGCUGACUUUUCCCUAGAGUCGGAUUGCUUGGGAGUGCAGUCCAAAGUGCGAGGUAAACUCCUCGUAAGGCUAAAUAUGACCCCGAGUCCGAUAGCAAACAAGUACCGUGAGGGAAAAUUGAAAAGAACUUUGAAGAGAGAGUUCAGUCAUAGCUGUUUCC
RNAcentral lists this ribosomal RNA (351 nucleotides) under Metridia longa. RNAcentral's name for it is "partial large subunit ribosomal RNA". It matches the Rfam family "Eukaryotic large subunit ribosomal RNA", at positions 66 to 406 of the family's 3401-position model. Lineage: Eukaryota; Metazoa; Arthropoda; Copepoda; Calanoida; Metridinidae. The record is from RNAcentral.